Molecule: RNA transcript, 7302 nt
Organism: Cygnus olor (mute swan)
Lineage: Eukaryota; Metazoa; Chordata; Aves; Anseriformes; Anatidae
Gene: MED14
Gene name: mediator complex subunit 14
Exons: 31
Source: RefSeq, a predicted model, not a curated record
GGUUCCGUGCCGCCAAGAUGGCGGCGGCCCCUGCGCCCGGCGGGCUGUGAGCGCCGCCAGCCCCGCUCCGCUCCCCGCCGACCGCUGCCCCCUGACCCGGCCCGGUUCCCGGUUCCUCGGCCCCCGGGCUGCCGAGCUCGCUCGUGCCCGGGCUCGAGGCGCCGCCGCCGCCAUGGCGCCGGUGCAGCUGGAGAGCAACCAGCUGGUGCCGGCCGGCGGGGGCCCCGCCUCAGCACCGGCCCCGCCGGCCCCCGGCGCCGUGACAGCCGCCGCCAGCCCCGGGUACCGGCUCAGCACCCUCAUCGACUUCCUCCUGCACCGCACGUACGCCGAGCUCACCGUGCUGGCAGACCUAUUACCAAGAAAGACUGAUAUGGAAAGAAAAAUAGAAAUAGUACAGUUUGCAAGCCGCACCCGUCAACUGUUUGUUCGUCUGUUAGCCUUAGUCAAAUGGGCUAAUAAUGCUGGAAAGGUGGAAAAAUGUGCGAUGAUAUCAAGUUUUUUAGAUCAGCAAGCCAUUCUGUUUGUGGACACUGCUGAUCGUCUGGCAUCUCUAGCUAGAGAUGCUUUGGUUCAUGCUCGUCUACCUAGUUUUGCUAUCCCAUAUGCAAUUGAUGUUCUGACAACUGGAUCAUACCCACGCCUGCCUACCUGCAUUAGGGAUAAAAUUAUCCCUCCUGACCCAAUUACAAAGAGUGAAAAGCAAACCACCCUUCAUCAGCUAAACCAGAUUCUUCGACAUCGACUAGUGACUACAGAUCUCCCUCCCCAGUUGGCAAAUCUUACAGUUGCCAAUGGCCGUGUGAAAUUCCGAGUUGAGGGGGAGUUUGAGGCCACCUUGACUGUGAUGGGUGAUGACCCUGACAUCCCCUGGCGCCUUCUCAAACUGGAAAUUUUGGUUGAAGACAAGGAAACUGGCGAUGGUCGAGCCUUGGUUCACAGUAUGCAGAUCAACUUCAUCCAUCAGUUGGUCCAGUCACGGCUGUUUGCUGAUGAAAAGCCACUUCAGGACAUGUACAGCUGUCUGCACUCCUUCUGCUUAGCGCUUCAGCUGGAAGUCUUGCAUUCACAAACACUAAUGCUGAUUCGAGAGCGCUGGGGUGACCUAGUGCAAGUGGAGCGAUACCAUGCAGGAAAGUGCCUCUCGCUCUCUGUUUGGAACCAACAGGUGCUUGGCAGGAAAACAGGGACUGCUUCUGUUCAUAAGGUCACUAUUAAGAUUGAUGAGACUGAUGUUUCAAAACCCUUGCAAAUAUCUCAUGAACCUCCACUGCCAGCCUGUGAUUCCAAACUGAUGGAAAGAGCCGUGAAGAUUGACCAUCUAUCAAUAGAAAAACUCCUGAUAGACAGUGUCCAUGCGAGAUCUCAUCAGAAACUCCAGGAGCUGAAAGCCAUUCUUAAGAGCUACAAUGUUAAUGACAAUUCAUUCAUUGAGACAGCUCUUCCAACUCUUGUAAUUCCAAUUUUGGAACCAUGUGGUCGAUCAGAGUGUCUGCAUGUUUUUGUUGAUCUUCAUUCUGGAAUGUUUCAACUGAUGCUCUAUGGUGCUGAUCAACUGACGCUGGAUGACAUAGAGAAGUCUGUUAAUGAUGAUAUGAAACGUAUCAUUCCUUGGCUCCAGCAGCUCAAGUUCUGGCUUGGACAGCAGCGUUGCAAACAGUCUAUAAAGCAUCUGCCUACAGUAAGCAGUGAAACUCUUCAGCUAGCUAAUUACGCUAGCCAUCCAGUGGGAAACCUUUCCAAACACAAAUUGUUUAUCAAACUCACUCGCCUUCCACAGUACUAUAUUGUUGUAGAGAUGUUUGACGUUUCUGGCAACCCCACAGAACUAGAGUACAAAUACCAUUUUCUCUCUGUGAGCUAUGCUGAAGGAGAUGACAGCCCUGCUACUGCACUUCUUUUACAGCAGUUCAAACCAAACAUUGAAGAGUUGGUACUAGACACAAAAAGUGGGAAACAAAUGAAAAGUGGUGUCAAGCGCAAGUUAUCUGGUGAUACAUGUUCCAUAGAACCUAAGAAACCAAAACGGUCGGGAGAAAUGUGUGCCUUCAAUAAAGUCCUAGCUCAUAUAGUAGCCAUGUGUGAUACAAAUAUGCCAUUUAUAGGGCUUCGUAUGGAGUUAUCUAAUAUGGACAUUCCUCACCAAGGAGUACAAGUAGAAGGAGAUGGCUUCAGCCAUGCCAUACGUUUAUUAAAAAUUCCUCCCUGUAAAGGUGUAAAUGAGGAAACGCAGAAGGCUCUGGACCGAUCUCUUCUUGAUUGCACUUUCCGAUUACAAGGUAGAAAUAAUCGCACGUGGGUGGCUGAGCUGGUGUUUGCAAAUUGUCCACUUAAUAGCACUUCAUCCAGGGAGCAAGGACCAACCCGUCAUGUUUACCUGACAUACGAAAACCAGUUAUCUGAACCAGUUGGAGGUCGCAAAGUUGUUGAGAUGUUCCUCAAUGACUGGAACAGUAUUGCUCGGCUGUAUGAAUGUGUCCUGGAGUUUGCACGAUCCUUACCAGACAUACCUAACCACUUAAACGUUUUCUCAGAAGUUCGUAUCUACAAUUACCGAAAACUUAUCCUUUGUUAUGGAACCACCAAGGGGAGCUCAAUCAGCAUUCAGUGGAACUCCAUACUCCAGAAGUUCCACAUUUCACUGGGAACUGUUGGCCCAAACUCAGGUUGCAGCAACUGUCACAACACGAUUCUGCACCAGCUCCAGGAGAUGUUCAAUAAAACACCAAAUGUGGUGCUGUUGUUACAGGUACUGUUUGACACUCAGGCUCCGUUAAAUGCCAUCAACAAACUUCCAACUGUGCCCAUGCUGGGUCUGACUCAACGCACCAACACUGCCUAUCAGUGUUUCUCAAUUUUGCCACAGUCACCCACGCAUAUCAGGCUGGCUUUUAGGAAUAUGUACUGCAUUGACAUCUACUGCCGGAGUCGUGGUGUGGUAGCGAUACGUGAUGGAGCAUACAGUCUUUUUGACAACAGCAAAAUAGUUGAAGGAUUUUACCCUGCACCUGGAUUAAAGACAUUCCUCAACAUGUUUGUUGACAGCAAUCAGGAUGCACGAAGACGAUCUGUAAAUGAAGACGAUAACCCACCUUCUCCUAUCGGAGGUGACAUGAUGGAUUCUUUGAUAUCACAGCUUCAACCCCAGCAACCACCACAGCAACCACAACAACAGCCAUUUGCAAAACAGGCAGGAGCAUCAGGAGCAUAUCCUCUUACUUCACCACCCACCUCCUAUCACAACACAGUGACACCUUCUCCAUCUAUGAUGCACACGCAGUCACCAGGAAACUUGCAUGCUGCGAGCUCACCUAGUGGAGCUUUAAGAGCACCAUCACCAGCAUCCUUUGGUCCAACACCUUCACCUUCCUCCCUUGGAAUCACAAUGGGACAAACAGCUAACUUUGCCAGCCCACAUGGUACCAUAGACCCAAGCUCACCUUACACCAUGAUGUCACCCAGUCAGCGUGCAGGGAACUGGCCAGGAUCUCCCCAGGUCUCUGGUCCAUCACCAGCAGCACGGAUGCCUGGAAUGUCACCAGCCAACCCUUCCCUUCAUUCACCUGUCCCAGAUGCCUCUCAUUCCCCACGAGCUGGAACAAGUUCCCAAGCAAUGCCAACGAGCAUGCCUCCACCUCGUAAACUACCUCAGCGCUCUUGGGCUGCAUCCAUACCUACAAUCCUCACCCACAGUGCCUUGAAUAUUCUGCUGUUGCCCUCUCCUACUCCUGGACUCGUGCCAGGACUAGCUGGCAGCUAUCUUUGUUCCCCUCUUGAGCGAUUCCUUGGAUCAGUUAUUAUGAGGAGACAUCUUCAGAGGAUCAUACAACAGGAAACGCUACAGUUAAUAAACUCCAACGAACCAGGUGUGAUUAUGUUUAAGACAGAGGCACUGAAGUGCAGGGUUGCUCUCAAUCCCAAAACCAACCAGACCUUGCAACUAAAAGUAACACCUGAAAAUACAGGACAGUGGAAAUCGGAGGAGUUACAAGUUUUGGAGAAGUUCUUUGAAACAAGAGUUGCAGGACCACCUUUUAAAGCAAACACCCUAAUAGCCUUCACAAAAUUACUAGGGGCUCCAACGCAUAUCCUCAGGGACUGCGUUCACAUCAUGAAACUUGAGCUGUUCCCUGAUCAGGCAAGUCAGCUGAAAUGGAACGUGCAGUUUUGUUUAACAAUUCCUCCCAGUGCACCGCCAAUUGCGCCUCCAGGAACACCCGCUGUUGUGCUGAAAUCCAAAAUGUUGUUUUUUCUCCAGCUAACACAGAAAACGACAGUCCCACAGGAAGCUGUUAGUAUUAUUGUCCCAAUUAUUUAUGAUAUGGCUUCGGGUACAACUCAACAGGCUGACAUUCCCAGGCAACAGAACUCUUCUGUUGCUGCUCCAAUGAUGGUUAGCAAUAUUCUAAAGAGGUUUGCUGAACUGAAUUCACCACGACCAGGUACUGUACAUGUCCAGUAGAUAUAUUCUCUCCACCCAGACAUCUGUGACAAAUCUCCAGUGUAAAACUAAAUCUCUCUUAAGUCUGAAUUCUUCUUGGUUCCUAUUAUACUUCUUUAGUGAUCACAAACUCCUGAUAUGACAGGCAAUACGUAACAUAAUAGCAAGUACUGGCAGUGCAGCAGUUUUACCCCAGAAGGUUACACUGGUGAUUCAGGCUGAAUAUCACUGUCAGAGUAUUACUCCCAAGUAAUAGGAUGCACCUCUCGUUGGCCCAGCUCUUGCUGCACAGUAGGAGUUAAAGUUUUUACCAAUGGGCCCAGAAUGAAUCACAAUAAAUAUGCUAUGGUCAAGUGUCAGUUUUCAUGGUUAACUAUGAAGUUAUUAAGCUUAACAGUAGAAUAUAAAGGGAUGUUAAAAUAGUUAUCAAAACUUGUCCAUGUGCUGUGAAUGAUUAAAAAGUAAUUGGUGUGAUUGUAUGCUCCUUUGUCAGUGUGUACACUAGCAGAGGCGCAUACAGUUCUAUCCGCCAAACGUGCUGUGAAGUGUUUGAGCUAAAUAGAUUGUUCUGAAUGUUCAUUGGCCUGUAGGUAGUGCACUGUGAGCAGCAUCGUACUUUGCUUUCCCUCUUGUUUGUCAUGCUUUUUAUUUUUUUUCAAUAUCUGACAACACUGAACAGCAGUAGCAGGUUCUUUGGGCAGAAUGUUGUCUGUAAGCAGUGGUUUGGGGACCUAAUACCCAAGUGGUUCAAAAGAACAAGAUCUUUCAGUUCUGCUGUAGUUGCACACUGAAGAUUGAAACGUUUUUCCAGUAACCCAGUGAAUAGUUUGAAAUUGUGAAUCCAGAGGUUGAAUUCUCCUUCUGUAUAAUUAUUCAUCGCGUUAUGUGGUAAUUUUAACAAUGCCUGAUGGUUUAUUUCGAUUGCUAGAACAUGAGUAAUGUUUAUCUUAAAUUGGUAUGGAUAUGUAUACAUUUUUGGAGAACUGUGAUGAGAUUUAAAUUAAUGUUUUCUGUUUAACGUGUAGUAAUAGUGUAGGUAAAUAAGAGAGAAUAGCUUUGAGUUCCCAGUAAGAGUUCUGUAUAGGAUAGAACUGUUGGUUGAAUAGCACUUUUAUUUCAAAACACUUUGACUAAACUUCAAGUGUUUCUUUUGGAAGGUGCUUCCCCACUAAGUUCCCCUAAUGGGGAAGGAUAGAUGCUUGUUUUGCUGUGUAUUAUUGCACUAAAUUGUGUUUUAAGGUAAACCCUUCACAAAAUGCUACAGCAUAGGAAGUAAUUGGCAAAGCUGCUCUUGAGCAUCCCAGGUGAGAUGUCUUCUGGUGAUCAUUAGGUAGAUUAGGAUAGACAACUUUUGUUUGUCACACGAGUCUGGAAAUAAUGCAGGACUUGCAGUACAGGGAGCAGAGUACAGACAGGGAAAAAAAUGCAUGUAAAAAGAGCUUCUGGCCUCAAGAAGGACCUUACCCCCAGGCAAAAAAGAGUACAGCCAGCUGAGCAGAGGAUGUUUCUAGUAGGCGUUCCUCUAAUUUCUGAGAGAAAGGUUGAGUCUCUGUUGAUUUCUCCCACCAAAAGUAGGAUCUUUCCUGAGGACACUUAACGUGCAAUUUCCUGUGUUCUUAUUAUCAAAAUUUACAUUAUUUUAUCUGACAAAAGAGAAAAGAUACCUUCUUUUCUUUGGCAUUGAAGGUGAUGGGAGAGCCAGCAGAUGAAAGUAGAUAGCUGGAAGACUUCUUUAACAACAGCAGUACAUGGGAGAUCCAAAAUGCAUAUCCUUUCUCUUAUGAUGCUUUUGUGCUGUGCUCAGGAUUUUCCUACCUGUGUUAGCUCUUCUGCUGCAUUAAUUGCAAUCUGCAUGGUUAAGUGAAUUUUUAACUCUUUCAGUCAGAAAGGAGCAGGGCUUCCCACCAUGCACGUAUGAUAUUAUUGGCACUUCCAUUGUAACCCGUAAUCAGUGUUGCCUCAUUUUGGCUGUAUCUUUUUUACCUUUCUCUCUUUGUGAGAAAGUAUUUUGUAUUCAGCUUAAUAUUCCUCUUAAUAAAAUGGUAGUAACUGAAAAGUGAGUUCUUUUGGAAGAGUUUUAUUUUCAGAUCUGUGGACAAGCACGUUAUGCUGUGUUUAACAGUAAAACGCUGGCUCGUUGCGAGUACGCUGUCUUUCUGAGAUCACUUUACCAAUGCCUCCAUGGAGAAAAAAUGUUUGAUUUUGGGGAAAUAGUUUUAUGUGAACUGAGAUGGAAUCGAUGUCCUGGAAUAACAGGGUUUAACUUGAGCUCUAAGCCUACAACCUGCGUCAUGUAGUGGACUGAUGUCUGGUAAGGAAAGUCCCUACUGAUGCAGGAGGUGACCUGUAGAGAGGAGCUCAAGGGACUUGUGUGAUAUUUCUUAAAACACUUCACCACUAAGCAUUGCCUAAUGUCUGGUUUUCAGUGAUGCAGUGGAUGGUAUUUUAGCCCUGAUUUGUAGCUUUGAUAUGAUAAUGACUUGCCCAAAAUAAUCCUGGGAGUCACUAGUUUGGCAGUUAGGAUUAAUACAUCCCCACGUGCUCUGCUCUCAUCUCUUUGCUCACAUGGCUCUUUCUUCAGCAACAAAAUGCAGUCUCUUCUGCUUGAUGCUUCUUGAAAUAUGCUGGAACAAUUCAGCCUGCGGUGACAGGGUGAAUGCACAAUAUUUGCAGCCGUUCGGGAUUUGAUGGUUAAUCUUACGCUGCCCCCUGGUGGGCGUCCAUAGACACUUUUAAAAGAAGGCUGAAAAUGAGACAAAACAGCAAAAAAAAAAAUCUCUCUGAAAUUAAGCCUUCAAUUAAAAGAGGACGUUCUAAUUUUACUUUUUUUAAGAGCUAACUAAUAAACUGGCAAACUUUCA